This is a long non-coding RNA of Mercenaria mercenaria, 2864 nucleotides long. RefSeq lists it as uncharacterized. The transcript is spliced from 3 exons. Lineage: Eukaryota; Metazoa; Mollusca; Bivalvia; Venerida; Veneridae. The record is from RefSeq and is a predicted model, not a curated record.
GUGGCCAGCAAUCCCACGUAGCUGGUGCACUUGUUGGACGGGACCUCACAGAACGUGAGGCAAAUGAUUGUCUCGAAUGUUGCAGUACUGACAAUUGUAACAAAUACCUUUGCGAACAAUUGAAACUUGACGGAAAUUGGGCAGAAUGGUCUCAGUGGUCAGCUUGUGAUGUCACUUAUAAUAAUGGUACCCAAACUAGGACACGAACGUGCACGAACCCAGCUCCUGUCAAUAGUGGACUGGAUUGUACAGGAAAUGACACAGAUUAAAAAACCUGCAAAAAGGAGGAGCUUUGUCCAGUUCAUGGAGGAUGGAGUAACUGGGAGCAUUGGGAAUCUUGUUCAGUCACGUGUGGUUAUGGGAUUCGAUAACGACACCGAAAUUGCUCAAACCCAUACCCUGAAAGGUAUGGGGAUCAUUGUUUCGGUGAAGGAAUGGAUGAUAGAUUGUGCAUGUCUGUUCCUUGUGCAAGUAAGGACGGUUUAUAUUCCUUUGCAAAUUUCAUGCAUGCCGCUUCAUAUUAAACUAUCAGAGAAUGACGAACGAAAAUAUAUUUCAGAACGUAUAACUGUUUUUAAAAAACAAUUCUUCUUAUGACAUGUUUACUGGUGUCUCUUUUGGUUGAUAACUGUUUCUGAUGAGCCCGCCCGCUAAAUUCAAUAGGAAUCUACAGAUCGCGGGGUCGUGAGUUCGAUUUCCGCGCGAGGCGUAAUUUCUUCAUGACGAUUUGAUGAAAGAUUUUGUCUGAAAUCAUUAGUCCUCCACCUCUGAUUCAUGUGGGGAAGGUGUCAGUUACUUGCGGAGAACAGAUUAGUACUUUUACAGAAUCCAGGAACACUGAUCAGGUUAACUUACCGCCGUUACAUAACUGAAAUACUGUUGAAAAACGGCGCUAAACCCAAAACAAACAAAUAUUUUUUUGCUAACAAGGGUGAUUCAGUAAAUUCUGUCAUUGGUCUUCGUAUAUCUGAUUUAUAAAUCAGAUCAUGGCAAUUGUCACGUCAUCCAUUUAAAGUAUUCUCCCUGCACAGAAACAGAAUUUUGCAGUCUUGCUAUUUAUGACCUAAAUGCUGCAAAGUGGUCUUCCUUAUAUAUACUGUUGAAACACUGAAAACUUGCAAAGCCAGUGGCACUUUUUCAGCAACAGAAAUAGAAAAAAAAAACACAAGGGCUUUGGUCAAGAGAAAAUGGUGGGUGCUCAUGCAGUCUGAAUAACUUUUUCUUGUUCUAAGAAUGUCUGUUCAGUUUGACAUUUGUGGGCGGAGGCAUUAUUAUAAAUAAGCAGUAUGCAUUUCAGACCUAUACUAAGGCUUAAAUUUUGAUAGAAUUUUUGAAAGCGUUAAGUACUUUUUGUACAACUUGCCAUUGAUGGUUUAAUCCCCUUUGCAAGGAAUUUGUACAAAGGGGCCACUAGAGUUGAAGAAAAUUCUUGGAUUGUUUUUGUCCUUUUUUGCAAUAUCCGGCUUUGCCUACGUUUUACUCCAGUAUUGUUUGUUAUCUACUCGUCGCUGGGCCUCAUAAUAAUUUACCAAGUAAACAACUCAGAACAUUUCUUGGAAUUACAUUUUUAAUGUGAAUCAGCAGUUUUUGACGCAGUCUAAACGCUUUGACUUUUGGUCAUGAGUCAAUAAAUGUCACAAUAGCACAAACCUUCUUUAAUUUCAAACUGUCGGUCAGAAUAUGAUGAACGAUCCCUUCUUAAAUAUGCCUAUAGUGUGAUAAUAGUAUAUCGACCAUCAUUCUUCUAUGUACCUUUUUCUUUGUUACUGCAACAACAUGCCUGCCAGGACGGAUACGGUCUUGAAGACUAUUUUUACACCCUUGACUCUUUACCAACCGCAAAGAUGUUCUUAACUUCACUAUAUAACUACCAUGGAUACGACAAAAUUCAGAUAAUAAUUUUUUGGAGUUACCCUGAAAGAAACCUGGGCUUUAAUGUUAACUCUAAUUUCUAAUUUUCUUCACGUUUCAUUAAAUAUAGCCACUGUACAACAAUGGAAAACUUUGUCAACUGUAACUGAAAUAAAUGGAUAUCUCACAGGUAGAAUAUGAAACGUGAAACUUUCAUGCUGUUAUAUACAAUGGUAUCUUUGGGAGACAUUAAGUGACAGCAUUUUUUAAAAAUCACCAUCGUACUUGUAAAUAUAAUGAUUUUUGUUUGGUUUGGCGUAACACUGACACAAGUUUAUGUCAUAUGGUGAGUUUCCAGCUUCUGAUGGUUGAAGAAGACCCUGGGUGCGCAUCUGAGCAUUAUAUACGACACGGGCGGGUACCUCGGUAGAACCACUUAGGUUCCGUAAGCCAGCGUGGUGGCCUACUCAUACGUAAAAUUCUUCACACCAAGCGAGUUUUUGAACCAACAGCGGUGAAGUGCAAGUGAUUUGAAGUCAACCGCCUUAGCAACUCGGCCACGGAGGCCCCUUAAGUAAUGAAAUGACAAGAAAAAUAGUUGUUUUAAAAAGGGUUAUUAACGGGAUUGUUCUAUAUUCAUUCGAAAUGCAAUCAUUAUAAUUAUUAUCUUGUUAAUUUUCCAUUGCAGUGUCAGCAGCAUACAGGACUACACAUAUUUCUGACUGACUAUUUUAAAUGAUUUUUUUUUGUAUUAUGUAAACCGUUUUAAAUAUGAGUAGAUAACUUGUGAAAAUUAAUACUUAGCACGCAAAUACUUUCAGUUUUGUGUAUUAAUUGUUUAAAUUUCAUGAACAGCAUAUAUUUAACAUGUUCAUCUAAUUUAUUAGGAAUGCACGUAUUAUUUAGAAAGGAAAAUUACUUAAAUUGUUCUGGCGCUGUAAUGAAAAUAUAUUUUUUUCGGAUAAACACUUGUUGUUUUAUAAAUCAGCAUUAUUAUAUUAGCUGGUUAAAUU